RNAcentral lists this ribosomal RNA (429 nucleotides) under Acidobacteriota bacterium. RNAcentral's name for it is "Acidobacteria bacterium partial 16S ribosomal RNA". It matches the Rfam family "Bacterial small subunit ribosomal RNA", at positions 355 to 776 of the family's 1533-position model. The record is from RNAcentral. Lineage: Bacteria; Pseudomonadati; Acidobacteriota.
UGGGGAAUUUUGGACAAUGGGGGAAACCCUGAUCCAGCCAUCCCGCGUGUGCGAUGAAGGCCUUCGGGUUGUAAAGCACUUUUGGAAGGAAGGAAACGCAAUGGGUAAAUACCCGGUAAAACUGACGGUACCUGAAGAAUAAGCACCGGCUAACUACGUGCCAGCAGCCGCGGUAAUACGUAGGGUGCAAGCGUUAAUCGGAAUUACUGGGCGUAAAGCGUGCGCAGGCGGUUCGGAAAGAAAGAUGUGAAAUCCCAGAGCUCAACUUUGGAACUGCAUUUUUAACUACCGGGCUAGAGUGUGUCAGAGGGAGGUGGAAUUCCGCGUGUAGCAGUGAAAUGCGUAGAUAUGCGGAGGAACACCGAUGGCGAAGGCAGCCUCCUGGGAUAACACUGACGCUCAUGCACGAAAGCGUGGGGAGCAAACAGG